AGAACUAAGGGCUGAACCAUGGGCAAGACUUUUGAGUGAUUAACUUCUCAAAUUCAAACUGGGCUUCACUGUAACCUGGAGACGAAACCAUUUGAAAGGAGAAAUUAUGGGGAGGAGGAAGAGUGAAUGAAGACAAAGAGAUGUGCGAUGAGAUGCUGAGGAGUGCACCCAGUGAAUAAUCCUGCCCAAUUUAUAGUCAUUGGCAGUGGAUAUACAUGAAAGAAAGAUGAAGGUAAUGACAAGACAAUUCAAAACAACUGCUUCAGUCUUCUAAUUUACUUUGCACCAAGAGCUAUAACCAGAAAUAACUCCCCCUGCCCCCCCCGGCCCCGCUACUUUUAUUCAACAUAGUACUGGAAGUCCUAGCCACAGCACUCAGAUAAGACAAAGAAAUAAAAGGCAUCCAGACUGGUGCUGAACGUAUCACAGGAGCAAAAAAUAUGAAGCCCCUCUUCCUGUGGAGCUUCUAUUCUUGGGGAAAGUGACAGAUAACAACCACCACCACAACUGCAGUGACAAACAGCUCAACAAAUCAAUAUAUAAUAAAUACAAAGACAAAUAAAACAGGGAGAGCCAGUACAAUGUGAUGAGUGCCAUUUCAGAUCAGGUGUCAAGAACAGCAGACACUUGAAAGAAGGUCUCAGGAAGGACAAGUUUGAGAGUCACUGAAAGAAGGUUUAUCUUUUGCUGAGCUAUAUUUACACCACACUAAUCUAACAAGACAAUCAGAAAAUAAUAUUACA
Canis lupus familiaris (dog) is the source of this 743-nucleotide long non-coding RNA. RefSeq lists it as uncharacterized. The transcript is spliced from 4 exons. NCBI's taxonomy places the organism in Eukaryota, Metazoa, Chordata, Mammalia, Carnivora, Canidae. The record is from RefSeq and is a predicted model, not a curated record.